This is a small nuclear RNA of Rhincodon typus (whale shark), 111 nucleotides long. NCBI's taxonomy places the organism in Eukaryota, Metazoa, Chordata, Chondrichthyes, Orectolobiformes, Rhincodontidae. The record is from RefSeq and is a predicted model, not a curated record.
GGGAUUAAACAGUAAAAAGCCAAUGUACUAAAAUUGGAACGAUAUAGAGAAGGUUAGCAGUGGCCUUUGGAAAAGGAUGGCAUGUAAAUUUGUGAAGGGGUCCAUAUUUCG